GACGUAGGGCGCGAGCGUUGUCCGGAUUUAUUGGGCGUAAAGAGCGUGUAGGCGGCCAGGUAGGUCCGCUGUGAAAGUCCGAGGCUCAACCUCGGAAUGUCGGCGGAAACCCUCUGGCUAGAGUCCGGAAGAGGAGAGUGGAAUUCCCGGUGUAGCGGAUGAAAUGCGUAGAUAUCGGGAGGAACACCAGUGGCGAAGGCGGUUGCCUGGAGCUUUGCUGACGCUGAUGCGCGAAAGCGUGGGGAGCGAUCCGG
Molecule: ribosomal RNA, 254 nt
Filed under: uncultured bacterium
Lineage: Bacteria
Description: partial 16S ribosomal RNA
Rfam family: Bacterial small subunit ribosomal RNA
Source: RNAcentral